RNAcentral lists this ribosomal RNA (440 nucleotides) under uncultured bacterium. RNAcentral's name for it is "bacterial SSU rRNA". It matches the Rfam family "Bacterial small subunit ribosomal RNA", at positions 339 to 796 of the family's 1533-position model. The record is from RNAcentral.
CUACGGGAGGCAGCAGUGGGGAAUAUUGGACAAUGGGCGAAAGCCUGAUCCAGCGACGCCGCGUGGGUGAUGAAGGUCUUAGGAUUGUAAAACCCUUUUGUUGGGGAAGAUAAUGACGGUACCCAACGAAUAAGUCCCGGCUAACUUCGUGCCAGCAGCCGCGGUAAUACGAAGGGGGCUAGCGUUGUUCGGAAUGACUGGGCGUAAAGGGCGCGUAGGCGGUGAAAUACGUCUGGUGUGAAAGUCCUGGGCUUAACCUGGGGAUUGCACUGGAUACGGUUUUACUUGAGUGUAAGAGAGGAAGAUGGAAUUGUGCGUGUAGAGGUGAAAUUCGUAGAUAUGCACAAGAACACCGGAUGCGAAGGCGAUCUUCUGGCUUACAACUGACGCUGAGGCGCGAAAGCGUGGGGAGCAAACAGGAUUAGAUACCCCUGUAGUCC